AGGACGAACGCUGGCGGCGUGCUUAACACAUGCAAGUCGAGCGGUAAGGCCCCUUCGGGGGUACACGAGCGGCGAACGGGUGAGUAACACGUGAGUAACCUGCCCCCCACUUUGGGAUAACCCCGGGAAACCGGGGCUAAUACCGAAUACGACUACCCAGGGCAUCUUGGGUGGUGGAAAGCUCCGGCGGUGGAGGAUGGACUCGCGGCCUAUCAGCUUGUUGGUGAGGUAACGGCCCACCAAGGCGACGACGGGUAGCCGGCCUGAGAGGGUGACCGGCCACACUGGGACUGAGACACGGCCCAGACUCCUACGGGAGGCAGCAGUGGGGAAUAUUGGACAAUGGGCGAAAGCCUGAUCCAGCAACGCCGCGUGAGGGAUGACGGCCUUCGGGUUGUAAACCUCUUUCAGCGGGGACGAAGCGAAAGUGACGGUACCCGCAGAAGAAGCACCGGCCAACUACGUGCCAGCAGCCGC
RNAcentral lists this ribosomal RNA (477 nucleotides) under uncultured bacterium. RNAcentral's name for it is "SSU rRNA". It matches the Rfam family "Bacterial small subunit ribosomal RNA", at positions 26 to 518 of the family's 1533-position model. The record is from RNAcentral.